Molecule: ribosomal RNA, 265 nt
Filed under: uncultured archaeon
Lineage: Archaea
Description: partial 16S ribosomal RNA
Rfam family: Archaeal small subunit ribosomal RNA
Source: RNAcentral
ACACGACUACAUUAGAUACCCCCGUAGUCCUAGGCGUAAAUGAUGCGAGUUAAGUGGUGGGGGCAUCUACGAGAUGGCCCUGUGCUGUAGGGUAGCCGUUAAACUCGCUGCCGUGGGAGUACGGUCGCAAGGCUGAAACUUAAAGGAAUUGGCGGGGAGCACCACAAGAGGUGGAGGCUGCGGUUCAAUUGGACUCAACGCCGGAAAACUCAUCGGGAGCGACAGCAGUAUGAUUGCCAGGUUGAUGACCUUGCUUGACAAGCUG